AAAUAAACCCGAUUGCAACGGAAAACAAAAGCUUUUUCUGCUUUUUUUGGAGUGAAAAGCGGGACAAAAC
Molecule: small RNA, 70 nt
Filed under: Pedobacter sp. Leaf194
Lineage: Bacteria; Pseudomonadati; Bacteroidota; Sphingobacteriia; Sphingobacteriales; Sphingobacteriaceae
Description: Flavo-1 RNA
Rfam family: Flavo-1 RNA
Source: Rfam by way of RNAcentral